UGAUGAGGUAAGUAGGAAGAUAAGGGUUAGUUUAACAAGUUUUGUUUGUACAGAUUUCUUGAACCCCAGUUCCCCAUCUCUGGUGAUAAGAAUGUCUUUCUUCUGUUAUAGGGAGGGUAACUUUUAGAUGGGAGUUUUAUGACCUGUCUCAGGGAAGAAGGAUGAAGGUAGAAAGUCAGAGCAGACCUUAUUGCUUCUUUCAUUUUCUUAAAAUUCCUUUAGCUUAUGACAUUUAAUGUUCCAAGGUAUCAUAUUUUGGGGUAGCAUGUCCUAAAUCCUAUCAAUAGCAUAAUAGAUGCUCAAUAGAUAUUUUUCAAACUAAUAAAGAAAUAAAAGAACAGAUUAAUUAUAUGUGUGUGAGAGAGAUAUGUAUUGGAUAUACAUGCGUAUAUGUGUUGCUGUUUGUUUAUAACAUAGUACCAAGUACUUUCUUCUUAAAUCAAUACUUGUAUCUUCAUUGUUCCAUCUCCCCUUAAAGUCUGACCUUAGCAUCUUUCACUUUUUUGGGAAGUCAGAAGUUAUAUUUAUGCAGUGAUAGGGUGCUCUUACCCCAGAAUAUUUUACUCUUAUUAUCCUGUUCCUUACAUAUAUAAAUUUUGAAUUUAUACACUUAUGAACAAAUCCCAUAUUGUCUGGAUGAGAAAACUGGCACAAAGGUUAAUGAACAGACAUAGCGAAGGCCACUUUGAUGAUUUCACUUCCAGGAUAAAAUCCAGAACUCUUAACUGUUAAUUCACUAUCAUAUAUACUCUUUCUCAAGUGAUGCCAAAAAACUCAUAUUUGCAUUAAUAACUUUAUACAUAGUUAUUUUAAGGAGAAGUAGCUUAGCAUAGUGAUUGAGUGAAUCUUGAAGUCAGAUACGAGGGUUCAAAUUUGUCUCUUCUGCUUGCCUUGGACAAGUUACUUUUUCUAAUUUCCUCUUCUGUAAAAUGGCUGUAAUAAUGAUGAAAUAACAACUACUUCAUAGAAUUGUUUAUUGGUAUUUAAUUAAAUGAGGUAUUAUUUUGUAAAAGUGCUUAAAACAGUGUCUUAUAAUAAGUGAUAUAAAGAUGUUUGCUACAUAACUAUGUAUGCAUAAAGAUUUAUUUACCAUUGUUUUUCCUCUUGUUUUCAGCAUGAUUAUAGUAGAUUAGCAACCAGUUUUAACUUGUCCUUCAUAUAUUUGUGAUCCCAGAGAGAGAAGAAAAAAAAACCAGUGAAAAAAUGAGCAUGUCAAAUUUCAUUGUUCACAUGCUAAUCAGAUCUCUUAAUAACAUUUUUUUCAUGAAAAGAUAAUAUAAUGGAAAACAUUUAUGCAAUAUUUUUACCAGAAUUUACUUGGUCUAGUUUGUUUAUAAUAAAUAAGUAGAAUUUAUGAAUUGUAAGGGGAAUGGCACUAUGGUUUGGAGAAUUUUUUUUUUGGAAAAUUAAUUAGAAAUCUUUCCUGACCAGAAAGCUCCCUUUGAGUAUGUGAUGCCCCACAUUUAUUUCUGCAAGGCCCAAAAUGCCAAAGUACAUCCAAAUGCAGCGAAAAAAAAAAAGAGGAGAAUAGCUGUUUUUGAGGCAAAAGUUUCCAUAACUUGCCUGUGUCUGGUGAUUAAAUCAAUCAUUGUGAUUCUUAGUAAGUUUGAUAUUGCAGAAGGUCUUUGAUUCUUUUGAGUUAAACUUGUCAAGCUUUCUCUCUGUUAGCACAGAGUGUCUCUGUGUAAAUGAUGUCUUUCAGACCCACAGUUCAUAAAUGUCUAACUCACCUUCAGUCACAGGAUGAAAUGGAAAAGAGGAUGAGGAUUUGAUGUCAUAAUGGUGUCUACUCAUCUUUGAGGAGAAGUGUGAAAGAUCUGAGGCAGGUUUUGUGAGCCAUUCUGACCAAUGGAACUUAGAAAAGUUGGACUUUAAACUCAGAGAACUAGCUAAAUGGAUGGACACAGAACCUUCUGCUGGGCAGAAAAGGAAAUUAGCAAAAAAUUCAAUCUCUAUCUGUUGUUAGCAGUUAAGCUAAAAAAUAGAUGUCUGAAAGAAGCUUCCUUAAUAAGAUAAAAAUAAAUACUACCAGAAAUCUCUGUCAGUGGAAAAGCCUUCUUAUGCUUCCACAACUACCUCGGUAGCUGGUAUAUCACUUAUUACUCUAAAUGGUAUGUAUGUAUAUAGGAAUGAAGGCUAUGGUCAAGUGACCAUGUAAUUCCAAGGCUAUUCUGUUAAAGAAUUAGGGUUUUUUAUAGGAGAAGUCUGGCAAUUUGUUAUUGGCAUAGAUGCGUAAAUUCUUAGAAUGCACUAUGUGGUGGGAUAGAGGGUCUCUAUUUCCAGAAAAUGCUAAGUGGAAAAAAAUAUCUUUAGGUUGACAAAUAAUCCCCAAGUAAACUUGUAUUAGCACACAUUUCCAGGUAGUGGUUAUUUAUUAGCAUGCUACAGCUAGUGAAUUAGGAUUUUUGGCAGAUCUACAUUCCUUUGGAGGCAAUAUAAAUGUUAUUAAUGCAGGUAAUUCUAAACUAGCAUUAUGAUGACAUAUUUAAUAACAAGGACUAUGCUAUAGAUUAUAGUAUGACAAAUGAUUCCCCAAUCUUUGGUGCCUUAUGUAGUCUUGUUUUGGGGGUCUAGAGAACAUUUGGAGGCACUAAUUGCACUGUUCUCUGUACAAGAAGUUGUAUGAUAUGAAACAUAUGCCAGCCACUCAGAAGAAACUAUAUAGUAGGAGAAAAAUAGAAAAAAAAUAGAAGAAUGUUUAAGGGAUACAUGACAAAAUUGGAUGGACUUGUUUAGAUGGCUUUAGAAAAAUGGGAUAAAAACAGAGAAACCUGAUAGGAUUCCCAUUAAGUCAGUUGCUCAUUGUCAACAUAGGGUGGGUGUACAGGUGAAAGAACUGUUCCACUCACCACUUACAUUACAACAUCUAACGUUAUCUCUUUAUUCUGGCCUAAAGAAAUUCAAGUAUAAUUAUGAGGAUCAUGCUUUAGAAUGAACUAUAUUGAAUGAACAGUGGGUAAGGGAGAAAGGUUGUAAAUUUAUCCUCUAAAAGUUAAGUGAAAUUAAAAAGCAUAGAUUCUCUUCUCUAACCCCUGAAUGGGCAUCUUAACAUGCAAAGAAUUGGGAGACAUGUUCAGGGGUGCCAUGCAGCACAUUUUACACAUUCUAGAUACAGGAGUUCAAUAUAAUCCCUCUGAUGGAUACAGAUGGUACUCUGAUAGCCCUGAAGUCUAUAAUAAGAGCAUAUGGAUAUGUGGUAGAGGAAAUUAAAGUGGAAGUUGAAAAACAAAUUGUAGAAUGGCACUGGAGAGAUUAGUCUUUGGUCAGUUUACUUGAGUGAAUAAUUUGGGUGGGUACUGUACAUGAAUGGGGCAUGUUUCCCUCACCCCUUCUGUAGACUGUUUCAGUUCUUCAGCCAGUUAAUUGGUCAAACUAAAUAUUGGACUUAUUCCAUCUUUCCUCUUUAGCAAAUAUUAAGCAACAUGGUAUCAGGAGGGCAAUGAGAAAUCACUAUUAUGAUUCAGGAAAUGGUUGAAGAGGGAUUUUUAAUUCCCCAUUAAGUCCUUUUAUUGGUCUUGUAUGGCCAGUGUACAAAACAGAUGGCUCCAGGAGUUUGACAAUAGACUACCAGAAUUAACAAUAUGAUUCCUUAAAUUGGUUCAGCUGUACUUGAUAUGGGGUAGGCUCCACAGGAAGGACAACAAGCCAAGGGGACAGCAAGUCACAAGGCUAAUUCCUUUAUUUCUAUACAAAUUUGGAUUCCAUCCAAAGGUAAGUUUGCCAUUUUAGCAAAUAAAACAUAGAAACCCAGUUAAAUUUGAACUUCAGAUUUUUUUAAAUGCUUUCUUUUUAGUAUAAAUAUGUCCUACAUAUUGCAUGGUACAAGUAAUAUAUUUUAUCUGGCAACUCUAUGUGGCAUUCUCUAGAUUGGAAUUUAGUACACAGUUAUUGUUUUUCUAUGGGGAUAUUUGAAUUGCAAGAGUCUAGUGACAGGAUUUGGACUUGGUAUCUGUUUAACCAUUUUAAUACACAGCAUCAAUAAUAUCAUGAGUUGCUUCUUUUGAGGAAGAAGCACUGGAAGAGUUAAGAACUAUAGUCAUUCAUACUACAAAUAGACUAACUGUUAAAUCCAACUAAAAUUCAAGUGUCAGUCCAGUCUGUGAAAUUCCCAGGAGUUCUCUACUCAAAAGCAGCCUGUGCAGUUGCUUUUCACAGCCCAUUAAAUAGACACUCACUACCUUGUUGUGGGAUGUUUGUAUAAACUGCCUUACCAUAAAAAGGCAUCAGAUAAUUCUGGAGCCAGAGAUACUGAUUAUGGCUGUGGUGACAGAUGAGAAAUAUUCAAAUAUAGAAGAACCUAGUAAGAUUACUCAUGAGAUGGAAAUAAUAUAUUCCUGGGCAUACUAACCAGGAAAAUUUCAAAGGAAUCCACCUUGUUCAUGAGAAGAUUAAUUCACUGCCCAUAAGACUGGAUAUAGAGCACCCCAAGGACUUUUCUGCCCUCUUUGCUGCAUAAGCUGAACAACAUGAUUCUUCCCAACUGAGGUAACACAGACUUCCAGGUUCCCAAUAGAGGAUUUCAUUGUUGGUUAGAAAUCAUCUGCAAUAUACCCUGCAGAUGGUAAAAAUCUUAGUGACAGAAGGUCAGAGCUGAGAGUUGUUUAUUUUGUGGUAGAUGGGAAAUUAGGCUUGGGUGCUUAGGGCACUGUUUGAAUAUUUACAGACUGUUGGACAGAAGCUAGUAUCCUUGCAAUAUGGACAGGCAAACAGAAUCCUAGAUGCUGAGACAAUAAAAGUACCUUCCUAUGGGAUUCUUAGAAAUGGAAUUAUCUGUGGGAAUUUGCAGAAAGAAUGAAAGCGGUUCAUGUAGAAAACUGUGGUGUGUGUGUUUGUCGGGGGGGUGUUGUGUGUGGCAUAUACACAACCACAGGAAAAAAACUAUCACAAACAAAAAUCAGAAAGGGAUUAGAAUGAUAAAGCAGAUGACUUUGUUAGACCUCCAAGUCUUUCUUUCUAGGUAUAUGAAACAUUCAAAAAUAUAGGUACUCACACCAUGUCUGAUAGAGAUAAUGCCCAUUACCCUUGCAUCCUAUAAAACUUCCGUAAG
This 5047-nucleotide long non-coding RNA is filed under the name Sus scrofa (pig). Its description in RNAcentral is "lncRNA (ENSSSCG00000052286.1)". Lineage: Eukaryota; Metazoa; Chordata; Mammalia; Artiodactyla; Suidae. The record is from RNAcentral.